RNAcentral lists this small RNA (2028 nucleotides) under Pan troglodytes (chimpanzee). RNAcentral describes it as "retained intron". Lineage: Eukaryota; Metazoa; Chordata; Mammalia; Primates; Hominidae. The record is from RNAcentral.
CAUGGUGGCUCACACCUGUAAUCUCAGCACUUUGGGAAGCCAAGGUGGAUGGAUCACCUGAGGUCAGGAGUUCGAGACCAGCCUGACCAACAUGGUGGAACCCCGUCUCUACUGAAAAUACAAAAAUUAGCUGGGUGUGGUAGUGGACGCCUGUAAUCUCAUCUACUCCAGAGGCUGGGGCAGGAGAAUCGCUUGAACCCAGAAGGUGGAGGUUGCAGUGAGCCGAGAUCAUGCCAUUGCUCUCCAUCCUGGACAACAGAGUGAGACUCUGUCUCAAAAGAAACGAAAGAAAAGAAAGAGAGAAAGAGAAACAGGAAGGUAGGGAGAGACAGAGAGAGAUACUGGAGAAGCCAGAGGGGAGAGGACUGCAUACCCGCACACACAGGAGAACUGGGGGUUGGCUGGGAGGCCCCAGCUGCCAAAAGGGCUGGCCAGCAGGGACAUCUGAGUGGGCUGGGUGGUAGGGGUAGCCCUGGCUCCCUCUGACCCCCCACCUUGGGAACCCUCCAGCCCAGACCUGGGAUGGCGGAUUCGUGCAGGAACCUCACCUACGUGCGGGGCUCGGUGGGGCCGGCCACCAGCACCCUGAUGUUCGUGGCCGGCGUGGUGGGCAACGGGCUGGCCCUGGGCAUCCUGAGCGCACGGCGACCGGCGCGCCCCUCGGCCUUCGCGGUGCUGGUCACCGGACUGGCGGCCACCGACCUGCUGGGCACCAGCUUCCUGAGCCCGGCCGUGUUCGUGGCCUAUGCGCGCAACAGCUCUCUGCUGGGCCUGGCCCGAGGCGGCCCCGCGCUGUGCGAUGCCUUCGCCUUCGCCAUGACCUUCUUCGGCCUGGCGUCCAUGCUCAUCCUCUUUGCCAUGGCCGUGGAGCGCUGCCUGGCGCUGAGCCACCCCUACCUCUACGCGCAGCUGGACGGGCCCCGCUGCGCCCGCCUGGCGCUGCCAGCCAUCUACGCCUUCUGCGUCCUCUUCUGCGCGCUGCCCCUGCUGGGCCUGGGCCAACACCAGCAGUACUGCCCCGGCAGCUGGUGCUUCCUCCGCAUGCGCUGGGCCCAGCCGGGCGGCGCCGCCUUCUCGCUGGCCUACGCCGGCCUGGUGGCCCUGCUGGUGGCUGCCAUCUUCCUCUGCAACGGCUCGGUCACCCUCAGCCUCUGCCGCAUGUACCGCCAGCAGAAGCGCCACCAGGGCUCUCUGGGUCCACGGCCGCGCACUGGAGAGGACGAGGUGGACCACCUGAUCCUGCUGGCCCUCAUGACAGUGGUCAUGGCCGUGUGCUCCCUGCCUCUCACGGUGAGUCCCCUCCGGAGCUGGGAGGAGUGGGGAGAGGAGGAGGGCAGCUCUGUGGGUUGUGCCCAUGUCACAGAUAGGGAGACUGAGGCUCAAAAGAGGUCAGACAUCGUGGGCAUGGUGGCUCACGCCUGUAAUCCCAGCAUGUAGAAAGGCCGAGGCAGGACCGGAUGCGGUGUCUCUCACCUGUAAUCCCAGCACUUUGGGAGGCCGAGGCGGGCGGAUCAUUUGAGGUCAGGAGUUCGAGACCAGUCUGGCCAACAUGAUGAAACUCUGUCUCUACUAAAAAUACAACAAAUAAAUAAAUAAAAAGUAGCCGGACGUAGUGGCACAUGCCUGAAGUCCCAGCUACUUGGGAGGCUGAGGCAGGAGAAUCGCUUGAACCCCGGAGGCGGAGGUUGCAGUGAGCUGAGAUCGUGCCACUGCACUACAGCCUGGGUGACAGAGUGAGACCCCGUCUCAAAAAAUAAAUAAAUAAAUAAUAAGAAAAAAAAGAAAAAGAAAGGCGAGGCAGGAGGAUCACUUGAGCCCAGAGGUUUGAGACCAGCCUGGGCAACAUGGUGAAACCCCAUCUCUAUGAAACAUUUAAAAAUUAGCCUGGCAUGAUGGCCUGUGCCUGUGGUCUCAGCUACUUGUGAAGCUGAGGUGGGAGGAUUGCUCCGGCCUGGGAGGUUGAGGCUGCAGUGAGCUGUGAUUAUACCACUGCAUCCCAGCCUAGCUGACAGAGCAAGACCUUGUCUC